This 418-nucleotide ribosomal RNA is filed under the name Neisseria mucosa. Its description in RNAcentral is "bacterial SSU rRNA". It matches the Rfam family "Bacterial small subunit ribosomal RNA", at positions 32 to 445 of the family's 1533-position model. The record is from RNAcentral. Lineage: Bacteria; Pseudomonadati; Pseudomonadota; Betaproteobacteria; Neisseriales; Neisseriaceae.
AACGCUGGCGGCAUGCUUUUCACAUGCAAGUCGGACGGCAGCACAGAGAAGCUUGCUUCUUGGGUGGCGAGUGGCGAACGGGUGAGUAACAUAUCGGAACAUACCGAGCAGUGGGGGAUAACUAAUCGAAAGAUUAGCUAAUGCCGCAUAUAUUCUGAGGAAGAAAGCAGGGGACCAUUUGGCCUUGCGCUGUUUGAGCGGCCGAUACCUGAUUAGCUAGUUGGUGGGGUAAAGGCCUACCAAGGCGACGAUCAGUAGCGGGUCUGAGAGGAUGAUCCGCCACACUGGGACUGAGACACGGCCCAGACUCCUACGGGAGGCAGCAGUGGGGAAUUUUGGACAAUGGGCGCAAGCCUGAUCCAGACCAUGCCGCGUGUCUGAAGAAGGCCUUCGGGUUGUAAAGGUCUUUCCUCAGGAA